AUGGGGAGAAGAAUUCCUGGGAUUGUUCCGCUGAGUGGAGCGAUGGGGAGACGAUGGGCCAGGAUUAUCCUGUUGUGUGCAGCAUCGAGGGGAGGAAGUUCCAGGGUUGUCCCGCCGAAAGGAAGAUUGUGGAUUGUCUCGUUGAGUGUAAGAGGUUCUAGGGUUAUUCCAUUGCGUACAAGAGGUUUUAGGGUUGUCUCGUUGGGUAGAAGGAGUUCUGGGGAUGUUCUGUUGAAUACAAGAUGUUCUGGGAUUUUCCCGUUGAGUGGUUCUGUUGGGAGAGGAGGCUCUGGGAUUGUCCCAAUGGGCACAAGAUGUUCUAGGGUUGUCCCGAUGGGUGGUUCUGCUGGGAGAGGAGGCUCUGGGAUUGUCCUGCUGGGCACAAGAUGUUCUAGGGUUGUCCCGCUGGGUGGUUCUGUUGGGAGAGGGGGCUCUGGGUUUGUCCCGCUGGACACAAGAUGUUCUGGGGUUGUCCUGCUGGGUGGUUCUGUUGGGAGAGGAGGCUCUGGGAUUGUCUUGCUGGGUACAGGAUGUUCUAGGGUUGUCCCGCGGGGUUGUUCUGUUGGGAGAGGAGGCUCUGAGAUUGUCCCGCUGAGUGCAGGAUGUUCUAGGGUUGUCCCGCUGGGUGGUUCUGUUGGGAGAGGAGCCUCUGGGCUUGUCCUGCUGGGUGCAGGAUGUUCUAGGCUUGUCCCACUGGGUGAUUCUGUUGGGAGAGGAGGCUCUGGGAUUGUCCCGCUGGGUGCAGGAUGUUCUAGGGUUGUCCCGCUGGGCGGUUCUGUUGGGAGAGGAUGUUCUAGGGUUGUCCCGCUGGGCAGUUCUGUUGGGAGAGGAUGUUCUGGGGUUGUCCCUCUGGGGAGUACAAGUGGAAAAAGAAGUCUGAGGGUUGUCCUGUUGGAUAGAAGAGGUUCUGGAGUUGUCUUGUUGGAUGGCUCUAGUCGGAGAAGAAACUCGAGGAUUGUUUCGUUGGAUGGAGGAAGUUCUGGGGUUAUCCCGUUGGGCAACUCUUGAGGGAGAGGAUGCUCUGGGGGUGUUGCGCUGUGUGAAAGAGGUCCUGGGGAUGUCUUGUUGGAUGGAGGAGGUUCUGGGCUUGUCCCGUUGGGCGAUUUGUGUGGGAGAGGAGGUUCGGGGGGUAUUGAACUGUGCAGAAGCAGUCUGGGCAGCAUCCCUUUGGGCAGAAUGAUGAAGAGAGGAAGCCUGGGGGGUGGCACUUCGAGGUCCGCUCUGCAGUGUCGCACAGGAAGCCUGGGUUAGCGCCGACCGGUGCCGCUCCAAGAAGUGCCCACUUUCUCCCCGGAGUUUCGCCCAGUGCUGUCCAGCACUUCGGCUCCCACUGCAGGUGUCUGGAGAGAGGAGAGGCUGGUUCAAGGUAAGAGGAGGGGUCUCACACACUACCUCUCUUUGUCCCCUGGGACAGAUAAUUAAGGCAGAGCCUACAGCCCCUUCUUAGAGGACCCGCUGCCCACACCAAAUGACUCCACCCCUUGGAAGGAGUUUGAUUGGAGGAGGCUUAAAGGCCUCUCUCAAGCUGAGGCUGAGAAUUCGAAAUUGAAACCCCACCUGACUCAGUCACUGGGAGGUAGUUUUCUGAGCCUGAAGGGACUGGGAGUCCCCGGACAAAUUCGUAGAGAGCAAUUUUCACAAUAGCCCAUGGGACCCGAGAAGAUGAGAGGCGAGUCUAGCAGCAGCUACCUAGCAACUUCCCUUUCUCUAUUCUACUUCCUGCAGAUGGGUUCUGAGAAAUUCCCCCAUCUCUUCUAAUGAGGCUCUUUCAUGUGUGAUAGCUCUAGAAAGCUCCCAUUCCUGACUCCCAGAGAGGCUCCUGCCCCAGCAGCGCCCGUUGGAGCUACCAUGAGCAUGGAAUAGGCUUUUGUGAACCUGCAGCAUAGGCCUCACCUGGGAGUUUGCUAGAAAUGCAGAUUCUCGGGCCACCACCCCACCACCCCCGCAUCGAAUCUACAUUUUAAUAAGAUUCCUGGGUGAUUGCAUGCACAUUACUGUCUAAGCAGCC
RNAcentral lists this long non-coding RNA (2008 nucleotides) under Vulpes vulpes (red fox). Its description in RNAcentral is "lncRNA (ENSVVUG00000024001.1)". The record is from RNAcentral. Lineage: Eukaryota; Metazoa; Chordata; Mammalia; Carnivora; Canidae.